RNAcentral lists this ribosomal RNA (1323 nucleotides) under Triticum aestivum (bread wheat). RNAcentral's name for it is "partial small subunit ribosomal RNA". Lineage: Eukaryota; Viridiplantae; Streptophyta; Magnoliopsida; Poales; Poaceae. The record is from RNAcentral.
AUGGCGCAGCUGAGAGCGUUCGCCAACGAGCAGCACCAGCAAGAAGCGCUGCACGGCCACGGCCACGGCGGCGACAGCGACAGCAACAAGAAGGCGCGCGCGGGCCUGUGCGGCGUGCUCCGGGAGCGCAAGGUGGUGGAGCUGGCGCGCGCCAAGCGCCGGCUGGUGGAGGUCCCCUACACGGCGACGCUGGCCAACGCGGCCAAUGCGCUCCUCGCCGGCCGCGUCUCCGCCGUCACCGUGGCCGCGCCUCCGGGCCACUGGAUCGGGGCCGGCGGCUCCUUGAUCGUCGAGUCCGACCCCGCCACCGGCGCCGCCCGCAAGCACUACAUCGGCAUGGUCAACAUGCUCGACAUCCUCACCCACAUCGCCGAGACCGGCCACGACGACGACGACGACGCCAGCGCCGUCAAGGACGGCGGUGGCUCGCCGCCGGUCGACCUCGACCGCCGCAUGUCCGUGCCGGUGUCCUCCGUCAUCGGCCACUCCUUGGAGGGCCUCACCCUGUGGACGCUCCACCCAAACACGAGCUUGCUGGAUUGCAUGGAGACGUUCAGCAAGGGCGUGCACCGCGCGCUGGUGCCGUUGGAGAGCUCGGCGGACAACGUGGUGGCGGUGGAGCUGGUGGAGUCGGCGCCGGUGUACAGGAUGCUCACCCAGAUGGACGUGGUGAGGUUCCUGCGCGCGCACGGCGCGGAGCUCGGCGGCGUCCUGUCGCGCACCGUCCGUGAGCUCGGCGCGGCGAGCGAGGCCGUGCUCGCGGUGGCGAGCCGCACCAAGGUCAUCGAGGCCAUCAGGACGAUGCGGGCGGCGUCGCUCACGGCCGUGCCCGUCGUCGACGCCCCCAUGGACGCCUACAUCCUGCAGGACGGGAGAGGGAAGAAGGUGGUGGAGACGUUCUCGGCGACGGACCUGCGCGACUGCCCGGUGGCGCAGCUGCGGUCGUGGCUGGGGGCCAGCGUGGCGGAGUUCAAGGACAAGGUGGCCGAGUACCGGCGCGACGGCAGCAGGCCCCUCGACGCGGCGGCCGGCGUCCAAUCCCCGGACGAAGGCGACACCAACACCGCCGUGGAGGCCGGCACCGGCAACGAAGAGGAGCCGCCGCGGCCGCGGGAGAUGGUGACAUGCUCCUUCCAGAGCACGCUCGGGGAGGUGAUCGAGAAAGCGGCGGCGAGCCACGUGCACCGGCUGUGGGUGGUCGACGGCGAGGGGGAGGAAGAGGGGUUGCUGCGCGGGGUGGUGUCGCUGACCGACGUGCUCCGGGUGGUCAGGGAGGCCGCCCUCGGCGAGGACCGGGAGCUCCACGACAUCGUGUCAUCCUAG